UUAUAAGAGAAGAAUCUAUCUGAUUAGUCUAGGCUUGGUAUCUUUUUUGGAUAACAGAUGCCUUAAGGCUGCGUGAUCAGAGUAAACUAGGAUCUUUGAGCCUAAAAGAUAUGAUCUAAACUUGUCUAAGGCAAACACAACUGCAAGUAAUCAGUAGUCGUGUAAUUCAAUUGUGCAUUAGAAAGAGUUUUGCUUGCAUAAUAAAUCACAUGAGAUUUUCUAUUUAUCCUUUGCCCCA
This 238-nucleotide long non-coding RNA is filed under the name Elaeis guineensis (African oil palm). RNAcentral's name for it is "long non-coding RNA (EGUI_LNC037345)". Lineage: Eukaryota; Viridiplantae; Streptophyta; Magnoliopsida; Arecales; Arecaceae. The record is from RNAcentral.